GACGAACCGUGCAAACGUUGUUCGGAAUCACUGGGCUUAAAGGGCGCGUAGGCGGCUUGUCAAGUCCGGGGUGAAAUCUUUCGGCUCAACCGGAAAAGUGCCUUGGAUACUGGCAAGCUAGAGGGAGGUAGGGGCAUGUGGAACUUCCGGUGGAGCGGUGAAAUGCGUUGAUAUCGGAAGGAACGCCGGUGGCGAAAGCGACGUGCUGGAUCUCUUCUGACGCUGAGGCGCGAAAGCUAGGGGAGCAAACGGG
RNAcentral lists this ribosomal RNA (253 nucleotides) under uncultured bacterium. RNAcentral describes it as "partial 16S ribosomal RNA". It matches the Rfam family "Bacterial small subunit ribosomal RNA", at positions 524 to 776 of the family's 1533-position model. The record is from RNAcentral.